GGGCCAUAACUCAAUAGCAGAGCAUCUGUUUUGCAUGCAGAAAGUCCCAGGUUCAAUCCCUGGCAUCUUCA
This is a non-coding RNA of Podarcis lilfordi (Lilford's wall lizard), 71 nucleotides long. Lineage: Eukaryota; Metazoa; Chordata; Lepidosauria; Squamata; Lacertidae. The record is from the annotation of a GenBank genome assembly.